UUUUUGUGAGCCUACAACACCGAGGAGUUGAAGCACUGGUGAAGGUUGGGCGGGGAGCUGGUGGAUGUUCAUCCUUGGAAUCCUCGGAGAUGCUCAGACCUUAACCGGGUGAGGUCCUGAGCAAGCUGCUCUAGCCUGGAGGCCACCCCUACUCUGAGCAGAGGUUUGCAGCAACUGACCUGCAAAAGGAGUCCACAGUGGCCCCUGGUGGUGUCAGUGACAAGGUCCCUUGGGUGUGAUCCAAACGUACUCCAGGAUCUCAUGGGAAAAGGCCGGGAAGGUGGAAAGGUGCGUUACCUAAUGUGAAACCGUAAGCUCUCCCAGGACCACGUUACCUGCCAUAAUUUAUGAUCUCCGUGUGCACUGUUGUGGGCACUAUCUCUGGUGCCUCCUUCACUGCGGCGGACCCUCACCAUACAUACCCAGUUUGUUGCGUGAGAAUUUACCGUGGCUAUUAUGGGCACUGUCCGACUUUCUCUCUUGGAGAACUGUUGCAUGAAUUAUUGAGCGGACAGCAGCCUGAUCGCAUCAUCUGCCAGUGGAAUUCACGUCAAGAAGUGCAUUCUCUCUUCAGAUCACUUCCAAUGGGAAAGAAUCUUUGAACUUUGUACUGCCAGUACAGAAAGAAGCAGAAAUGGCUUUGAGAUAAAGUUGUCUCAAAUGCUGCAGAAAAUGUACAUGUAGUUAUGCUUCAGUUUGGAAAGCCUUAUGGGUAUUACAGUGGAAAGAAUAACAGAAUGGUUUGUUUCAGCUUUGGUCUUGAUUUGGGUCCAGGUUUCCCCUGUAUACAUACACGCACACAUUGGGAAUAACAACUGAGGGCUUGCAGAGGAGCUGGCCAAAAGAUCAGGCCAAGAACCAGAUUUUUCCUCUUUGGUGAUGGAGAGGAGGCAAGCAACUCCACAUACCGUCCUUGCAAGAAACCAUGUACAGGGCAGGCACCAGUUGUGCUCUCGGGAAGGAGCAGACCUGCUUGUGCAAUGCUUAAUGCCCAAACCAACUGCGCUUCCAGUGUUAUUCCAUUUCGCUCCCAGUAGGACAUAGCUGAAUCACAACAUUACUCACUGUUGCAGUGUUAACAGCUGUGCUCUAGGGCCGGUCACUUCGAAUACAUUAGCUCUUUGUUCAGUCCCUUUGUUUUUUCCAAGUGCUUGUGAGGGAGGGGUACUUGACAACACAACUUUAUCUCAGAACUGAUGUCAAAAUAAAUGCCUCCACAGAAAGCUUUCCUGCCUAGGAACAGCCAUGCAGAGCACACCAGGGAGCAGGAAAGACAAGUCCGGGUCCCUGUACUGCUCUUUUUUGACGAUAUAGGCAGGGGAACCAUGUGUAUUAACCACAUUGGGAUGUGUUGUGCAGCAGAAUGAUGUAAAGCUGUUACAAGCAGAUGUGCCAUGCUCUGACACACUCCAGUUGGAAAUCCCUGUCAGAAAUGCCAGCAAAACCUUCUGCCUUUUGUUUUGUUUUGUCUCAAACAUGAAUCUGCACAGAUUUUACAGGGUGGAGGUUAUAAAACAAGGGCAACAACCAUGACAGGGGCUUUGGCCUUAGGAAUUCAAGACUGGCUCAGUUCACCUUAGCAAUCAUGAAGGCCUUGCAACAUCAGGCAACCUCAAGUAUGGUAACCUGCUUAUUAGAAUUUAGAAAAUUUCCCCACAGAAGAUGCCAUCU
Molecule: long non-coding RNA, 1671 nt
Filed under: Gallus gallus (chicken)
Lineage: Eukaryota; Metazoa; Chordata; Aves; Galliformes; Phasianidae
Description: lncRNA (ENSGALG00010001001.1)
Source: RNAcentral